GCGGGUUAAAGUUGAACAGGUUGCCUCUCUCGUAUAUGUUGCAGAUUCUUCAUUUGUCUAGCUGAUCAACUAUAGUAUUGAUUUGUCUAGCUGAUCAACUAUAGUAUUGACUGUCAUGCAAAAGAAGGAUCUGCAACAUAGACAAGAAUAGGUGAUCGAUUUUUAUACACUCA
This 173-nucleotide microRNA precursor is filed under the name Physcomitrium patens. Its description in RNAcentral is "Physcomitrella patens miR902j stem-loop (ppt-MIR902j)". Its record names the gene ppt-MIR902j. The record is from miRBase by way of RNAcentral. Lineage: Eukaryota; Viridiplantae; Streptophyta; Bryopsida; Funariales; Funariaceae.